CUUGCCACAAGCGCCGCCUGCAGUGGGGAGGAUGGAUGGUGGCGCCAUCUUGGGGAGGGUGAGGUACACUCCCGGGUCUUCACAGUGAAGACAAAAGUGAAUUAGUAGAACAGGAGAAAAUAGAAGUACGGGUUGAAGGCCUAUGCCGGGCACUGUUGCUUUUCACAUACCAGUUAGUAAAUUCUCAAAAAGUCAUGUGAGGGCCAGGGAUUUAGCUCAGGUUGCCGCCUGCCUCUCAAGCAUAAGGACCCGAGUUGGAUCCCUCGUACAAAAAAAAAAAAAAAUUCUUACCUCAUGUGAGGUAAGAAUUGUUAUGUUAACCUUAGUGGUUAACAUAUAAUGCUUAUUCUGGGUCAUGUCACCUCUUUAGGCUCCUAGGAACAUGCACUGAAGAAGACAGCUUCCUGGGUUGGAAUGAGUGCUUCCCUACUUACUAGCCGGGGUUUUGCUGAGGCAUCUGGGACAGACAGUGCUGCUGUAGCCAUCUUGUGCUUAUAAGGAAAAAGCCUGUCCAAGAACGGAGUCCACUUGAAUUGAAGACAGUGGAGAAGACAGACACAGAGUACUCUCCAGCACAGCCAGCAAGUCCUGAGCAGAAUGGUGCCUCUCCCUCUGAGCCCAAAGAUGCUGGAAAGCGGAGGGACCGAGUCUGCAGAGGAGACCACGCCCAGGCACUUGGGGACACUGCAGCUGGGGUAGGAAGCAGAGAUCCGGGACAGCUUGAGCAGCACAUCAGCACAGAGUGGCCUAGCUUGCAGCCCAGACUUAGGUGCUUCGGGACAGAAGGCUCCUCCUGUUUCCACUUAAGGCUCAUGAGCCUCCCCUUCCCCACCAUCUGAGAGUGGACACCUCUGAGAGCCCUAUUUCCAAGAGAGGAGGCCCCAAGAGGCUGAGUGGCUGCUCCACGGUCACAGAGCUUGUUGUUGUUGUGUGUGUGUGUGUGUGUGUGUGUGUGUGUGUGUGUGU
Fukomys damarensis (Damara mole-rat) is the source of this 966-nucleotide long non-coding RNA. RefSeq lists it as uncharacterized. The transcript is spliced from 3 exons. The record is from RefSeq and is a predicted model, not a curated record. Lineage: Eukaryota; Metazoa; Chordata; Mammalia; Rodentia; Bathyergidae.